Molecule: ribosomal RNA, 468 nt
Filed under: uncultured bacterium
Lineage: Bacteria
Description: partial 16S ribosomal RNA
Rfam family: Bacterial small subunit ribosomal RNA
Source: RNAcentral
GACGAACGCUGGCGGCGUGCUUAACACAUGCAAGUCGAACGGAAAGGCCCUGCUUUUGUGGUGUGCUCGAGUGGCGAUCGGGUGAGUAACACGUGAGUAACCUGCCCUUGUCUUUGGGAUAACUUCAGGAAACUGGGGCUAAUACCGGAUAGGAGCUCCUGCUGCAUGGUGGGGGUUGGAAAGUUUCGGCGGUUGGGGAUGGACUCGCGGCUUAUCAGCUUGUUGGUGGGGUAGUGGCUUACCAAGGCUUUGACGGGUAGCCGGCCUGAGAGGGUGACCGGCCACAUUGGGACUGAGAGACGGCCCAGACUCGUACGGGAGGCAGCAGUGGGGAAUAUUGCACAAUGGGCGGAAGCCUGAUGAAGCAACGCCGCGUGCGGGAUGACGGCCUUCGGGUUGUAAACCGCUGUCGCCUGUGACGAAGCGUGAGUGACGGUAAUGGGUAAAGAAGCACCGGCUAACUACGUG